Sapajus apella (tufted capuchin) is the source of this 579-nucleotide long non-coding RNA. RefSeq lists it as uncharacterized. The record is from RefSeq and is a predicted model, not a curated record. NCBI's taxonomy places the organism in Eukaryota, Metazoa, Chordata, Mammalia, Primates, Cebidae. The transcript is spliced from 2 exons.
CUGGAGGUUGCAGUGAGCUAAAAUUUCACCCCUGAAUUCCAGCCCGGAUGACAGAGCAAGACUCUGUCCCCCUGCCACACACAAAAAAAAUCAGAAAUGCUUUUCCUACUCUCACAUGCCACCUUGCACAGAAUGCCUCAAUUCUGAUCACCAACAUAAGUGGAUUUCUUCCCAACCACAUCCAAAUCUUGAAUGGACACAAACUGAAUUUCUUGUGGUUUAAUUCACUUCUGACACUGUCUACCUGGAGUUAGAGUCAGAUCUCACAGGUGAAGGGUUGAGUUCCCAGGCCGGUAAGGGCGGCCCCCGACCUCAGAUGCCAGUUGCAAGUGUAAAUUGUCACAUGUUCCUCUGACCAACCAGCUGUGAGUUGGGUUCCCUCAACCCCUUUCUUGGGUUUGAUUGCUUUGCUAGGGUGGCUCACAAAACUCAGUGAAACACCUUCUUAGGUUCAUGAUAAAGAAUGUUUCACAGGACACAGAGGGACAGCCAGAUGAGAAGAUUCACAGAGUGAAGCACUAAAUUCAAAAUGAAUAGUCAUUCUCUGAUAUAACAGUUCCACACAUUAUUGAUAUAAAA